GUUGUAUGCUAUGAUGAUAACUUGGCUCCCUCUACUGAAUGCUAUGAGGAGAAAAGCCUAAAUGUUACCCAAUACUUCCUGAGUUUACAGC
Xenopus tropicalis (tropical clawed frog) is the source of this 91-nucleotide small nucleolar RNA. Ensembl annotates it as small nucleolar RNA, C/D box 100. The record is from Ensembl. NCBI's taxonomy places the organism in Eukaryota, Metazoa, Chordata, Amphibia, Anura, Pipidae.